This 194-nucleotide ribosomal RNA is filed under the name uncultured eukaryote. RNAcentral describes it as "partial 18S ribosomal RNA". It matches the Rfam family "Eukaryotic small subunit ribosomal RNA", at positions 1 to 186 of the family's 1831-position model. The record is from RNAcentral.
UCAACCUGGUUGAUCCUGCCAGUAGUCAUAUGCUUGUUUCAAGGACUAAGCCAUGCAUGCCUCAGAAUCACUGCAUUGCAGGAAUCUGCGCAUGGCUCAUUACAUCAGACGUAAUCUGCCGCAAAAAUUGUGCGGUCUCCGCAUCAUUGGAUACCUUGGCGAAACGCCAAGCUAAUACAUGAACCAUCGGGACG